Molecule: ribosomal RNA, 429 nt
Filed under: Gemmatimonadota bacterium
Lineage: Bacteria; Pseudomonadati; Gemmatimonadota
Description: Gemmatimonadetes bacterium partial 16S ribosomal RNA
Rfam family: Bacterial small subunit ribosomal RNA
Source: RNAcentral
UAGGGAAUCUUCGGCAAUGGACGAAAGUCUGACCGAGCAACGCCGCGUGAGUGAAGAAGGUUUUCGGAUCGUAAAACCCUGUUGUUAGAGAAGAACAAGGACGUUAGUAACUGAACGUCCCCUGACGGUAUCUAACCAGAAAGCCACGGCUAACUACGUGCCAGCAGCCGCGGUAAUACGUAGGUGGCAAGCGUUGUCCGGAUUUAUUGGGCGUAAAGCGAGCGCAGGCGGUUUCUUAAGUCUGAUGUGAAAGCCCCCGGCUCAACCGGGGAGGGUCAUUGGAAACUGGGAGACUUGAGUGCAGAAGAGGAGAGUGGAAUUCCAUGUGUAGCGGUGAAAUGCGUAGAUGUAUGGAGGAACACCAGUGGCGAAGGCGGCUCUCUGGUCUGUAACUGACGCUGAGGCUCGAAAGCGUGGGGAGCAAACAGG